GGGCCGCUUGGCCAGUUCGUCGGCGAGCAUCGCCUCCAGCGCGGGGACGGAGGUGGCCACCAGCCGUAGCGGGCCGAGCGCGUCGGCACGGUCCG
This 95-nucleotide transfer RNA is filed under the name Kutzneria sp. CA-103260. Its description in RNAcentral is "tRNA-Trp". Lineage: Bacteria; Bacillati; Actinomycetota; Actinomycetes; Pseudonocardiales; Pseudonocardiaceae. The record is from RNAcentral.